GAUGAAGAACGCAGCUAAAUGCGAUAAGUAAUGUGAAUUGCAGAAUUCAGUGAAUCAUCGAAUCUUUGAACGCACAUUGCGCCCGCCAGUAUUCUGGUGGGCAUGCCUGUUCGAGCGUCAUUUCAACCAUCAAGCCCCCGGCUUGUGUUGGGGACCUGCGGCUGCCGCAGGCCCUGAAAAGCAGUGGCGGGCUCGCUGUCACACCGAGCGUAGUAGCAUACAUCUCGCUCUGGGCGUGCUGCGGGUUCCGGCCGUUAAACCACCUUCAUAACCCAAGGUUGACCUCGGAUCAGGUAGGAAGACCCGCUGAACUUAAGCAUAUCAAUAAGCGGAGGA
RNAcentral lists this unclassified non-coding RNA (336 nucleotides) under soil metagenome. Its description in RNAcentral is "partial contains 5.8S ribosomal RNA, internal transcribed spacer 2, and large subunit ribosomal RNA". The stretch from base 1 to 120 matches the Rfam family "5.8S ribosomal RNA", at positions 35 to 154 of the family's 154-position model. The record is from RNAcentral.